UGAGCAAUCUGCCCUUCUCUUUGGAAUAAGCGUUAGAAACGACGUCUAAUGCCGAAUACGACCUCCUUUCGCAUGAUCGGAGGUGGAAAGCUCCGGCGGAGAAGGAUGAGCUCGCGGCCUAUCAGCUAGUUGGUGUGGGUAACGGCCCACCAAGGCGACGACGGGUAGCCGGCCUGAGAGGGUGACCGGCCACACUGGGACUGAGACACGGCCCAGACUCCUACGGGAGCAGCAGG
RNAcentral lists this ribosomal RNA (236 nucleotides) under uncultured bacterium. RNAcentral's name for it is "partial 16S ribosomal RNA". It matches the Rfam family "Bacterial small subunit ribosomal RNA", at positions 118 to 354 of the family's 1533-position model. The record is from RNAcentral.